UACGGGGGGGGCAAGCGUUACUCGGAAUUAUUGGGCGUAAAGGGCGCGUAGGCGGUCGUGUGCGUCGGAGGUGAAAUCCCCAGGCUUAACCUGGGAACUGCCUCCGAUACGGCAUGGCUUGAGUCCGGGAGAGGGGAGCAGAAUUCCCAGUGUAGCGGUGAAAUGCGUAGAUAUUGGGAGGAACACCAGUGGCGAAGGCGGCUACCUGGACCGGUUCUGACGCUGAGGCGCGAAAGCGUGGGUAGCAAACAGG
This 253-nucleotide ribosomal RNA is filed under the name uncultured bacterium. Its description in RNAcentral is "partial 16S ribosomal RNA". It matches the Rfam family "Bacterial small subunit ribosomal RNA", at positions 524 to 776 of the family's 1533-position model. The record is from RNAcentral.